Molecule: ribosomal RNA, 510 nt
Filed under: uncultured bacterium
Lineage: Bacteria
Description: bacterial SSU rRNA
Rfam family: Bacterial small subunit ribosomal RNA
Source: RNAcentral
AGAGUUUGAUCAUGGCUCAGAGUGAACGCUGGCGGCAGGCCUAAUACAUGCAAGUCGAACGGCAGCACAGCAGAGCUUGCUCUGUGGGUGGCGAGUGGCGGACGGGUGAGGAAUACAUGGGAAUCUGCCCAGUCGUGGGGGAUAACGUAGGGAAACUUACGCUAAUACCGCAUGCGCCCUUCGGGGGAAAGCCGGGGACCGUAAGGCCUGGCGCGAUUGGAUGAGCCCAUGUCGGAUUAGCUAGUUGGCGGGGUAAAGGCCCACCAAGGCGACGAUCCGUAGCUGGUCUGAGAGGAUGAUCAGCCACACUGGAACUGAGACACGGUCCAGACUCCUACGGGAGGCAGCAGUAGGGAAUAUUGGACAAUGGGCGCAAGCCUGAUCCAGCCAUGCCGCGUGAGUGAAGAAGGCCCUCGGGUUGUAAAGCUCUUUUGUCCGGAAAGAAAAGCGCCGGGUUAAUACCCUGGUGUCCUGACGGUACCGGAAGAAUAAGCACCGGCUAACUUCGUG